This 216-nucleotide ribosomal RNA is filed under the name Glomeromycotina sp. Its description in RNAcentral is "partial small subunit ribosomal RNA". The stretch from base 40 to 216 matches the Rfam family "Eukaryotic small subunit ribosomal RNA", at positions 686 to 864 of the family's 1831-position model. The record is from RNAcentral. Lineage: Eukaryota; Fungi; Glomeromycota.
GGGUCAGUAGGUUGGUCAUGCCACCGGUACGUACUGGUCUCACUGAUUCCUCCUUCCUGAAGAACCGUAAUGCCAUUAAUUUGGUGUUGCGGGGAAACAGGACUGCUACUUUGAAAAGAUUAGAGUGUUUAAAGCAAGCUAACGCUUGAAUACAUUAGCAUGGAAUAAUGAAAUAGGACGAUCGAUCCUAUUUUGUUGGUUUCUAGGAUUGACGUA